This 488-nucleotide ribosomal RNA is filed under the name uncultured bacterium. RNAcentral's name for it is "partial 16S ribosomal RNA". It matches the Rfam family "Bacterial small subunit ribosomal RNA", at positions 28 to 507 of the family's 1533-position model. The record is from RNAcentral.
GAUGAACGCUAGCGGCAGGCCUAAUACAUGCAAGUCGGACGGGAUCCAUUGAUAGCUUGCUAUCAAUGGUGAGAGUGGCGCACGGGUGCGUAACGCGUGAGCAACCUGCCUCCAUCAGGGGGAUAGCCUCUCGAAAGAGAGAUUAACACCGCAUAAUAUCAACAGUUCGCAUGUUCAGUUGAUUAAAUAUUUAUAGGAUGGAGAUGGGCUCGCGUGACAUUAGCUAGUUGGUAGGGUAACGGCUUACCAAGGCGACGAUGUCUAGGGGCUCUGAGAGGAGAAUCCCCCACAAUGGUACUGCGACACGGACCAGACUCCUACGGGAGGCAGCAGUAAGGAAUAUUGGUCAAUGGGCGGAGGCCUGAACCAGCCAUGCCGCGUGCAGGAUGACUGCCCUAUGGGUUGUAAACUGCUUUUGUCCAGGAAUAAACCUAAAUACGAGUAUUUAGCUGACUGUACUGGAAGAAUAAGGAUCGGCUAACUCCGUG